Molecule: ribosomal RNA, 1494 nt
Filed under: uncultured rumen bacterium
Lineage: Bacteria
Description: partial 16S ribosomal RNA
Rfam family: Bacterial small subunit ribosomal RNA
Source: RNAcentral
AGAGUUUGAUCAUGGCUCAGGAUGAACGCUAGCUACAGGCUUAACACAUGCAAGUCGAGGGGCAUCAUGGGAGGACUUCGGUCCUUUUGAUGGCGACCGGCGAAUGGGUGAGUAACACGUAUCCGACCUGCCCUGUACUGGAGGAUAGCCUCCCGAAAGGGAAAUUAAUACUCCAUGUGUCAAAUGUCCGCAUGGUCGUUUGAUGAAAGAUUUAUCGGUACAGGAUGGGGAUGCGUUCCAUUAGCCAGCCGGCGGGGUAACGGCCCACCGGGGCGACGAUGGAUAGGGGUUCUGAGAGGAAGGUCCCCCACACUGGAACUGAGACACGGUCCAGACUCCUACGGGAGGCAGCAGUGAGGAAUAUUGGUCAAUGGCCGCAAGGCUGAACCAGCCAAGUAGCGUGCGGGAGGACGGCCCUAUGGGUUGUAAACCGCUUUUAUACGGGGGUAAAACGCGCCACGUGUGGUGUCUUGCAAGUACCGUAAGAAAAAGGACCGGCUAAUUCCGUGCCAGCAGCCGCGGUAAUACGGAAGGUCCGAGCGUUAUCCGGAUUUAUUGGGUUUAAAGGGAGCGUAGGCGGGAUGCCAAGUCAGUUGUGAAAGUCCGCGGCUCAACCGUGGAAUUGCAGUUGAAACUGGUAUUCUUGAGUGUACAUAACGAAGGUGGAAUUUGUGGUGUNNNNNNNNNNUNNNUANNNANNANGAANNNCNNNNNNNNNNANGGCAGCCUUCGGGGGUACUACUGNNNNGUGAGGCUCGAAGAGUGCGNGAAAUCAAACAGNAUUAGAUACCNUGGGUAGUCCGCACNGUAAACGAUGGACACUCGUGGUUGGCCCUUGUGGUCAGUCACCCAGCGAAAGCGUUAAGUGUCCCACCUGGGGAGUACGCCGGCAACGGUGAAACUCAAAGGAAUUGACGGGGGCCCGCACAAGCGGAGGAACAUGUGGUUUAAUUCGAUGAUACGCGAGGAACCUUACCCGGGCUUGAAUUGCAUGGGGCGUGGUCAGAGACGGCCAUUUCUUCGGACCCAUGUGAAGGUGCUGCAUGGUUGUCGUCAGCUCGUGCCGUGAGGUGUCGGCUUAAGUGCCAUAACGAGCGCAACCCUUCUCUUCGGUUGCCAUCGGGUAAUGCCGGGCACUCCGGAGACACUGCCAUCGCAAGAUGUGAGGAAGGUGGGGAUGACGUCAAAUCAGCACGGCCCUUACGUCCGGGGCUACACACGUGUUACAAUGGGAGGUACAGAAGGCCGCUACCUGGUGACAGGAUGCCAAUCCCGAAAGCCUCUCCCAGUUCGGAUCGGAGUCUGCAACCCGACUCCGUGAAGCUGGAUUCGCUAGUAAUCGCGCAUCAGCCAUGGCGCGGUGAAUACGUUCCCGGGCCUUGUACACACCGCCCGUCAAGCCAUGAAAGCCGGGGGUGCCUGAAGUCCGUAACCGCGAGGGGCGGCCGAGGGCGAUACAGGUGAUUGGGGCUAAGUCGUAACAAGGUAGCCGUA